Molecule: long non-coding RNA, 1512 nt
Filed under: Homo sapiens (human)
Lineage: Eukaryota; Metazoa; Chordata; Mammalia; Primates; Hominidae
Description: HSALNT0407033
Source: RNAcentral
CCAGGUUCAAGCGAUUCUCCUGCCUCAGCCUCCCAAGUAGCUGGGACCACAAGCGUGCACCACCACACCUGGCUAAUUUUUGUAUUUUUAGUAGAGACAGGGUUUCACCAUAUUGGUCAGGCUGGUCUUGAACUCCUGACCUCGUGAUCCACCCACCUCAGGAAGUGCUGGGAUUACAGGCGUGUGAGCCACCACGCCCGGCCAUGAAAUAUUUUUACUUAAAAAUUGGGAAUAAGCUUUUUGGUUUUUUGUGGGUUUUUGUUUUUGUUUUUUGUUUUUUGUUUUUUUGAGAUGGAGUCUUGCUCCUGUUGUGCAGGCUGGAGUGCAGUGGCACAGUCUUGGCUCACUGCAACCUCCACCUCCUGGGUUCAAGCAAUUCUCCUUCUUCAGCCUCCCGAGUAGCUGGGAUUACAGGCAUGCACCACCACACCUGGCUAAUUUUUGUGUUUUUAGUAGAGACGGGGUUUCGCUAUUUUGGCCGGGCUGGUUUCAAACUCCUGACCUCAGUUGAUCCACCCGCCUCAGCCUCCCAAAGUGCUAGGAUUACAGGCAUGAACCACCGUGCCCGGCCAGGAAUAAGCUUUUGACUUACCCAAUUCAGAUAGGUUGAUCUUUGGGGUUUUUUUUUUUUUUUUGAGAUGGAGUUUCGCUCUGUUGUCCAGGCUGGAGUGCAAUGGCAGUUGUUUCACCGUAACCUCUGCCUCCUGACUUCAAGCAAUUCUCCUGCCUCAGCCUCCCAAAGUGCUGGGAUUACAGGUGUGAGCCACCGUGCCCGGCCCAGAUAGGUUGAUCUUAAUGUAACAACCCAAAAAUAAAUGUCAUAGUCAAGAUUUGGUAGAUAAAUUUAAAAUUAAAAUAUUCUGCAGUUGGGAGUGAAAUGUGAUAGCACAUACGUUGACAUUAUGCAUUUAGAGAUGUUAUAAAAAUGUAUAGGCAGUAUACACAGCACUACUCAAGAAGCCAAAGAAACACUUGUGCAGUGCUAAGUGUCACAUGUCUGCUUCCACCAGAGGCUAGGAAUAGUGAUCCUGCUAUAAUGUGAGAACCCAAAUCAUGUUUAUAAAAUAGGACGCUGGGAGCAGUUGCAGGCCACAGUGAAGUGUGUUGCUUCUGUCACUUUAUAUUCUUAUAUUUCCUUUCCCUCAGACAGUAAACUGUUGAUACUCGUACUUGUAAAAAAUUGUAAGGCAAUUUUUAGUAUUGUUGUCAAAGAAAAGCUUGGAUUACAUUAACAUUUGUAUUCAGUCUUUUAGGUGAUACACCAGAGGGGGCUGGGAAUUGUCUCUUUGUUCCUAUAAGUAGAUCUUAAUGUAAAAUAGUAAAUGUCCAUUGAAAAGCAAGUAAUACAGCCUGUGCUAAUUGGGAGCACUUGAACAAUUUUGUUCCAUUCUGAGUAACUUUUGAGCAAGUAAUUCUAAGCUUUGUCUUGUAUCCUUGUGUGAAAUUGCAUAAUUUUUACCCUAUUUGAUUUCUUAAAUAAAGAUGUUUGCUCAAGAUCGUGGUAGUUUAAUA